Molecule: long non-coding RNA, 1660 nt
Organism: Serinus canaria (Common canary)
Lineage: Eukaryota; Metazoa; Chordata; Aves; Passeriformes; Fringillidae
Source: Ensembl
UGGAGAGAAACUACUGCUGCCUCUUGUCUGCCAGGAAACCACGUCCUAAGCACGUGGGCUUAGCCUGCAAGGAGCACAAGGAAAGCUCUCUGCAGAUGGGAUUUUAGAGCUGCUUUCAGCCAGCCAAGCCCUUGGGAAGCCCCAAGUGGCCUUACAAAGGAUAAACCCCUGUUUUGUCAAGACAGAGCAGUUUUUAUUACUCCAAGGAGGCAUCAUCAGUACUUCUCUAUGACAACAAAAGGGAGGGAAGCGGAAAUCGUGACACUGCGGAAACGUGAAAAAAAAGUUUCAGCAUCCCCAGCUGUGGGGGGCGGCCCCAGCGCCCGCUCCCAGCCCCAGGACAAUGGGGCUGGGCUGCCACCUUGGCCCGGUGCUGGGCUGCGGGACCGGCGGCAGCGAGCCAGGCGGCCUCGUACCCCCGCCACUCCGAACACACAGAACCGCCGGGCGCUGGGCGUGGAAGGGGCCGCUGGAGCUCACCCAGCCCAAACCCCGCUCAAGGCUGAAAUUUCAGGAUCCAAAUGCCUCGGCGAACGCUUUAGCAUGACAUUUGCAUGGCACAAGAAAAUCUUUCCAAAGGAUGGUUACUGGGUCAUUACAUUUUUACUUUACUUUAAAAGGUACAUUUACUCUAAUGUACUUUUUUACACUUAUUUAUAAGAUUAAAUAAUGCACUUGAGCCCGUUUGUAUUUUCUUUUUAUUAGAGAAAGAAGACAACCAUGAAAAUAAUUUUCGUACAGAUAAAAACAUAAUUAAGUUUAGAAAAACGCAACAAUUUUCUCUGAAACUUUAACUGGUGAAAUUGCAAUGCUGAAACUGCAUUUGAAAAAGUACAAAACCUUAUUAAUGAUACUUGCAGAAACGUCAGUGCUCAGGAAAUUCAAAAGUGAGCACGUGAAAACACAUUCUUUAAAAAGAGAGUGGGAAAACAGAAUGGAGAACUCAUUCUUUCACUAACAUGUCAUUCUUAUUUGGCAGGAGCACUCCUUCCUCUUGCUUUAUCAUGGCUAAUCUUCUUGCAAAGAAGAACCACGUCGACAAUGCAGAGAACAAGCAAUAUAAGACCCAACACCUAUAAAAAUUACCAUAAAAUUAGUUCCCCCAAUCAGUCUCGAACCUCUACUGUAGUGACUCAUCAGUAAACAUAUACUUGUUUCCAGCCUUGAAAAUGUGUGUGAUUUGAGACAGCUGAUAAAUUAAAUAACAUCCAUAUUUACAUCCCAUCAGGCUUUCAGAGAGCUGUCUACAGCCUGCUGUUUGAUGUUUGUGUCAGGCCUUGAAGGUAGUGUGGUGCUCUCCUUGAAAGCUAAGCUAAUGCUGCAUUAUGCCAGACAAUGCUUUUAUCCUAAAUGAAAGCCCUCUGUCUCUUUAAGGGCUGCUUAAUUAAUGGGACUGGCCCUGAGAAAAGUCAAGGGAAAGUCAGUAUUCCUAGAAACAAGCCCAGCAGGAAAAUGCUCUUCUCCUCUGAAGCUCUGAAUGGGAAACAUAUUCCAAAUUGAAGAAAAUGUACUAAAUUAUUUAAAAAAUAGACAACCCCAGAAAGGUAACUGGAAAAAAGUUUGCAGAAAAGCCACUGCGUUAACUCACUCAGCUCCUGCCCUUCAGCCCCAUCCCAUAUGCACACUGGGGUUUUUUAUGCAAGCACUGCAUUAUGUGAUC